UGGGGAAUUUUGCGCAAUGGGGGGAACCCUGACGCAGCAACGCCGCGUGCGGGAAGGAGGCCUUCGGGUCGUAAACCGCUUUCAGCAGGGAAGAUAAGAGACGGUACCUGCAGAAGAAGCCCCGGCUAACUACGUGCCAGCAGCCGCGGUAAUACGUAGGGGGCGAGCGUUAUCCGGAUUCAUUGGGCGUAAAGCGCGCGUAGGCGGCCUGCCAAGCGGGAGCGUCGAAGCCGGGGGGCUCAACCCCCGGAAGCGGCCCGAACUGGCAGGCUCGAGUGCGGUAGAGGAGGGCGGAACUCCCGGUGUAGCGGUGAAAUGCGCAGAUAUCGGGAGGAACACCGACGGCGAAGGCAGCCCUCUGGGCCGCCACUGACGCUGAGGCGCGAAAGCUGGGGGAGCGAACAGGAUUAGAUACCCUGGUAGU
This 424-nucleotide ribosomal RNA is filed under the name uncultured Coriobacteriaceae bacterium. RNAcentral describes it as "bacterial SSU rRNA". It matches the Rfam family "Bacterial small subunit ribosomal RNA", at positions 355 to 794 of the family's 1533-position model. Lineage: Bacteria; Bacillati; Actinomycetota; Coriobacteriia; Coriobacteriales; Coriobacteriaceae. The record is from RNAcentral.